RNAcentral lists this transfer RNA (73 nucleotides) under Trichonephila inaurata madagascariensis. It matches the Rfam family "tRNA". From Rfam's summary of the family: Transfer RNA (tRNA) molecules are approximately 80 nucleotides in length. Lineage: Eukaryota; Metazoa; Arthropoda; Arachnida; Araneae; Nephilidae. The record is from Rfam by way of RNAcentral.
GUCCCUAUAGUGCAAUGUAUAGCGUAUUGAACUUCUAAUUCAAAGGUCGUGUGUUCGAAUCCCACCUGGGAUG